Molecule: ribosomal RNA, 549 nt
Filed under: uncultured bacterium
Lineage: Bacteria
Description: bacterial SSU rRNA
Rfam family: Bacterial small subunit ribosomal RNA
Source: RNAcentral
AGGGAAUCUUCCGCAAUGGACGCAAGUCUGACGGAGCAACGCCGCGUGAGUGAAGAAGGUUUUCGGAUCGUAAAACUCUGUUGUUAGAGAAGAACAAGUGCUAGAGUAACUGUUAGCGCCUUGACGGUAUCUAACCAGAAAGCCACGGCUAACUACGUGCCAGCAGCCGCGGUAAUACGUAGGUGGCAAGCGUUGUCCGGAUUUAUUGGGCGUAAAGCGAGCGCAGGCGGUUCCUUAAGUCUGAUGUGAAAGCCCCCGGCUCAACCGGGGAGGGUCAUUGGAAACUGGGGAACUUGAGUGCAGAAGAGGAGAGUGGAAUUCCAUGUGUAGCGGUGAAAUGCGUAGAUAUAUGGAGGAACACCAGUGGCGAAGGCGACUCUCUGGUCUGUAACUGACGCUGAGGCUCGAAAGCGUGGGUAGCAAGCAGGAUUAGAUACCCUGGUAGUCCACGCCGUAAACGAUGAGUGCUAAGUGUUGGAGGGCUUCCGCCCUUCAGUGCUGCAGUUAACGCAUUAAGCACUCCGCCUGGGGAGUACGACCGCAAGGUUG